RNAcentral lists this ribosomal RNA (248 nucleotides) under uncultured bacterium. RNAcentral's name for it is "partial 16S ribosomal RNA". It matches the Rfam family "Bacterial small subunit ribosomal RNA", at positions 15 to 253 of the family's 1533-position model. The record is from RNAcentral.
GAUCCUGGCUUAGGAUGAACGCUAGCUACAGGCUUAACACAUGCAAGUCGAGGGGCAGCAUUUUAGUUUGCUUGCAAACUGAAGAUGGCGACCGGCGCACGGGUGAGUAACACGUAUCCAACCUGCCGAUAACUCCGGGAUAGCCUUUCGAAAGAAAGAUUAAUACCGGAUAGCAUACGAAUAUCGCAUGAUAUUUUUAUUAAAGAAUUUCGGUUAUCGAUGGGGAUGCGUUCCAUUAGUUUGUUGGG